AUAAAACUUUCAAACCAGGAACAGAACAUUUUCUAAAUUUUGUUCAUAGUAUAAUUGGCUGUAAAAUAGCAUACAAAGCUACUUUAGGAUCUACGUUGUCCAACUCUUGUGAGAUUUCCUUGAACCAGUUAGAGGAAGUAUUAGAGAACAACAUUGAGCAUCAGUCAGAACAAUGAGUUAGUGGCUCUGGACUUGCUAUAGAACUGUUAAAAGGUUCUUUGACUAGUGCACAGGCUUCCAGGAAUGCGAUGGUUUCUUACGUUCCAGUAGAAUUGCUGUGUUUGUGCACUGUAGCAUCAAAGCAUCAUUCGGCACCUUAAAGGUAUGAUUAAUUAUUGUUGUACAGACAUUCAUGGACCAGAGUCCAUUUGAUCAGAUUCAUGGAAUCUAAUCCCAAGUUGACAGGUAUAUCUUGAAGCUAGUAAUUUCCACUCUGUUUGGCUGAAUGUGAUAUCAUAAAGUGUAACACAUUUCAGAGGUGUAGCUUGUGGGGAGACUGAAGUUAGUGCUUUUGAUAGGAUUUAGAGACUUAAAAUAAGUGAGCAAGUACAUACAAUACUCAUACACAUGAGUUGUGCUGUCAUAUUUAAAGCAUGGAAGAAAAACUUCAGAGCCAGAGGGUUGUAGUAGUUUCAGUGUUGGCCUAUGACUCUGGAGACCAGACCAGGGAUUGAUUCCCUGCUCAGCCAUGGAAACCCACUGGGUGAUCUCGUCACACUGUCUCUUGAUGCUUCAAAGGAAGACAAAGGCAAUUCCCCUUUGAACAGAUCUUUCCAAGUAAACCCUGUGAUAAUUUUGUCCAGGGGUCACUGUAAGUCGGAAAUGAAGGCAUACAACAACAAAGAAAAACUUGUUCUGGGUCAUGUGUGUAAUAAAAAAUCAAAGAUACAGAAUGGGGGACGCCUGGCUUGACAGCAGUGUGUGCGAAAAAGACCUUGGAGUCCUCGUGGACAACAAGUUAAACAUGAGCCAACAAUGUGAUGCGGCUGCUAAAAAAGCCAAUGGGAUUCUGGCCUGCAUCAAUAGGGGAAUAGCGUCUAGAUCCAGGGAAGUUAUGCUCCCCCUCUAUUCUGCCUUGGUCAGACCACACCUGGAAUACUGUGUCCAAUUUUGGGCACCACAGUUGAAGGGAGAUGUUGACAAACUGGAAAGCGUCCAGAGGAGGGCGACUAAAAUGAUUAAGGGUCUGGAGAACAAGCCCUAUGAGGAGCGGCUUAAAGAGCUGGGCAUGUUUAGCCUGCAGAAGAGAAGGCUGAGAGGAGACAUGAUAGCCAUGUACAAAUACGUGAAGGGAAGUCAUAGGGAAGAGGGAGCAAGCUUGUUUUCUGCUGCCCUGCAGACUAGGACACGGAACAAUGGCUUCAAACUACAGGAAAGGAGAUUCCACUUGAACAUCAGGAAGAACUUCCUCACUGUGAGAGCUGUUCGACAGUGGAACUCUCUCCCCGGGGCCGUGGUGGAGGCUCCUUCCUUGGAGGCUUUUAAGCAGAGGCUGGAUGGCCAUCUGUCGGGGGUGCUUUGAAUGCGAUUUCCUGCUUCUUAGCAGGGGGUUGGACUAGAUGGCCCAUGUGGUCUCUUCCAACUCUACUAUUCUAUGAUUCUAUGAUUCUAUGAAUUUUGGAAUUGAAACAGAAGCUUUUUAGUGACAUACAAGAUUGUAUAUAUGAGAUGGGAGGAAUUAUAUACAUAUUUGGGACUAGAUAUCAAAAAUUAUGCUUGGGUCAUGCUGUCUACGCUUAUCAUAUCGUUACCGUAAGGAAAUGAUCCUGAAAGAAGAGCCCAUACUCUUUGGUUGAGACACAAUGCAGUAUCAUUGUGUUUCAUGCCAGAUAGACUGGGGUUCAGAUUCUCACUCAACUAAGAGGCAUGCUGUGUCCAGGGCCAUAGCCAGAAAAUUUUUUGGAGGAGGUUUUGAUCAUUUCGGGAGGGGGUGAACCCCUAAACCACCCCUCCCCCGGCUACAGACCUGUCAAUAUCUGCUUGGGAUAGUGCCUGGAGGGACUCUUAAUUUUUUGCGUCUCAUAGACUUAGCAUGGGGAUUUGGUUAACCAGUUAAAAUUCAUGAGUAAACCAGGUUUUUUUAAAACUUGAAAGAUUUCGGGGUGGUUUGAACACCUAACCCCCCCCCCCCCCUCCGGCUACAGGCCUGUGUGUGGCAGUGGCAUUGUCAGGGACUUAAAAGAUGCAGGGUCCUGGCCUGUGUAGGUCAUACAUCUAUAUAGAAUUUGCAUAUGAAAAUAAUAUGCUAGUCAGUGUGCUGUAGAGGUCUGAAUGCUGCAUUAGGACUCCAGAAGACCAGGGUUCAAAUCUUCACUCAACCAUGGAAACCACUGGAUAAUCUUAGGCAUGUCACAUGCUGUCAUACUCAGAGAAAGGCAAGGGCAAACCCUAUCUUAACAUACCUUGCCAAGAAAAUUCUUGAAUAGGGUAGUCUUAGUGUUGCCAUAAGCCUAGGAUGACUUGACAAGAGUGUUGUGCAGAGGAAAUACAAAAAAUCCGGAGCCCUUGGAAAUAGAUCCAAGGCUGGACCCUCAUGGAUGCCUUCUGUCCCAGGACUGUCUUGCUGUCUGAAGCAAAGAGAUUUAAGUUCAAUGUGCUAAAAAUCUACAGAAUAAACAAAAUAACUGCCAAUUUGAUCUAUUUGCUCCUCAGUGGCACCAUAAAAAUAUCUUUAGUGACCUACAAGAUUGUAUAUACCAUUAAAAACUAUCUGUGCCCCAUGAAAUUGUCAGCUCUUCCUUAUUAUACUAGGGGUUCUUUAGUCUAACCAUCACUUGUCUCCUAGUCUAUAUCUGAGAGAUGUACCGAGCCAAACAAGAACGUCUGUAUGGAUAAAACCUUGAACUCUGUAGGAAAGGUUCUAUACAAAAAAGAGAGAAGGAGAGGGAGGAAAAAGUGCCAAAGCCAGCACUUUGAAAAAAAAGAAGACUGUAAGUAAUCACUUAAAGAAGAAGAAAAAAGCUUCACAGUUGGGCUCAUCCACUCUGCCCUGCUGCUCUUCAGUCAUCUCUAAGCCGGCUCCAGGUGAGAUGCGCCAUGCUAGCAGAUGACGCCCUUCUCUCCAUCUGGGGAGCAGGAGGAGAAUGGUAGCAGUACAGAUCAGCUGAACCGAAAUGAGAAGAGAAAUACUGUCAUGCAGAGGCCAUGGAGAGCAUUUGGAAGCAACACAGGGAAGUCACCCAAUGCAGCUGAGGUCCUGAUGGUAUACAGAUUGACCAUGCUUGAUUUAAUUCAUGCCAACAGAAGCAUCCUCAAUCUUUCAUAAGAAAAGUUACUUUUUUUGACUGCACGUCUUAGCAAAUUCUGUAAUACAAAAAUAGCUUUGCUGUACUCUGCCUUUCACAAAGGGCAUAAUUAGAAAGCAAUACAAGUGGAGAAUCAAAUUAUCUCCCUUUCUCUAAAGAUCAUUGAUUGAUAUAAAAACAAGCGAAGUCUUGCCACUGCAGAUCAGACUCCUAGAUAAGAUCAUGUCAGAGGAAGAAAAGAACCAGCCAGGUCCAUCUGCCAGCCAGUGAAGGAGGAGACUUGGAAGGGAAAUUGCUUUUCCCAGACCUAUGAGAAAGAAGGAUAGGACUGGAGAGUUGAAGGGAAGGAUGACCUGAUCUCUUCCAUUUGCUGAAGGGCCAGUGGUCGGGCAUUAAACCUGUUGCUUCCACAAAGAAAACUGCAGAAAGAAGGACAACCUGGUCCCUUCCAUUGACCAGAGAAGAAAGGACUGGAAGAAAAUUGACUAUCUUCUACUUGCUAAGAAGAAGUCUUGAUUUCAAAUGCCAGUUCUCUGGGACUGCAGAACUUGAAGGAAGCAAUCUCUUCCUACUUCAUCUUUUCCCCAGCCACAGGACCAAACUCAGCAGCUUCUUACACCUGCUACUACCUGCUUCGCUGACUCUGCUGGAGCCCACAGAUGUGCCGGUGUGAUUAAAUGCAAGAAAUGGAAGCUUAGUGGAGAAAUGCCACUGAGGGGACCCUUAUGAGUGUGGAACAAGCCAUACAGCUGGAAUCAAGAUUUCCCUGUGCUCUCCUCACUGAUUUACAUGAUCACUGGGGGAUUUGGGGAGCAGGAAUAAGAAGAGGGAAAUGAAGAAAGGUCUGACUGAGGAAGGGGGGCACCAGGCGGGAUCUGCUUGGAAGCAAAUACAAAAUAAGACUACAAAGAGAUUAAACUGAGACUGUUAUACUUUGAAGAGAACUGAGUUUAAAGACAGAGCUUAAGAUACCACCAAUUCUAAGAUGCUUUCCUUUCCAUCUGGAGAAGAGAAAUGAGUUUAAAGACAGCGCUUAAGGUACCACUAAUUCUGAGAUGUUUUUCUCUCCAUCUGCAGAAGAGAACUGGGUUUAAAGACAGGGCUUAAGAUACUCCUCCUCCUGUGAAGCUUUCCACUCAGAAAGCAGUGACGGGUGAGACAGGUAGCAAGUGUGGCGGAGGGUGUUAUUCUCCUCCGAUUGGCCCAACAGGCAGGGCUUAGAGGGAAAUAGCAGUCGGCAAUUCUGUGUGGGUGAGGAAUGCCACGUGGCCCAAAAAGCAGGCAAGGAAAUGAUACCUGCUCCCGCUUUCUUUCGUUUUGAGCUUAUUUUCGUUCUGAGGGAGGGGUUACCAUUUCGGGCUCUCGCCUGAAACUAAAGGAACAAAAGAACGAAUGAAAUGGGAGAAACUGAUACCACGCACACCUCUAUUGUAUACAAUGUGAGUUGAGUAUUUGUGGAGUUUGGAAUCCACUGGGUUUUCUGAAACCAAACCCCAGCAGACGUUAAAGGCUCACUUCAUAUGAAAUAGUUUCUCAAUUUAAAACCGAUUAAAACAAUCCUGAAAAAUAAAAUAACAAAAUACAUGCAAACUGAAUAAAAUCAGUUUGACUCGCAUAAGUGGAUGCAAAUUCCUCGCUUUAUAUCCACCAUCACAACACUUUGAUUUUUAAGAUGGUGCAGGAAGGAUGGUUUCCUGAAAUCUAUCCUAUGUAGCUUCCUGUUGUUAGCUGUUAAUAUGUUGCAAGAUAUUUGUAGCUUGCUGUCACAUUGCUCUGUGACUCAUUGUUCCUAUAAACAGCACUUUAAAAGUUUCUGUAAAUGAUCUUCUCCAACCCAACCCCCUCAGAUACUGUACAAUACCCUUCACUCAGGCAUCCUUUGAUCAAACAUUUGGCAAAUGUGUUCUUACUUUUGAAACACUGAGUAGCUGAGUAGGUUGAGAGCUAUCUAUGAACAAGCAGGACUUUAAAAAGACAACGGAGGAAGGUGUUGCUGUCAGAUGUCUGGAAAACCAAUGAAUUAUGCCUUUCAUUAAAAAAUGAGUCUAGUUGUCAUGUGUGGGCUUCCUUCCUUCCUUAGUCCGAGGGAUUACACUAGAGCUUUCUAGCAGAGAAUUCAAAGUACUUCACUGAAUUCAAUUUCAAAGGAUUUUGUAAACGAAUCCAUGGCAUCAAAAGUGGUUUCAGACUUCUAGAACUAUGUAGUACAGACACACUUUAAGAAAUCAAUGAUAAAACAGUGAUUGCAUUUGGCCUGUAACAGUUUCCUGCAACAGGAAAUUCAGAGAAUGAGCCCAGAGAAAUGGACAAAUGAGUAGAAGAGUUCUAGGCCAUUCUGUAUUAGUUCUGGGACAAUUGAGCUUCAUAGAAGUUUGCAGUUCUGUAUUAGGACAGAGUAGGUUUUAGUGAUGAAUUGAAACAGAGAAAGAAUGUGACUAUACUAUUCACAAGCAUGAAGAUGAAUAUUAAAUUCCCUUAAAACUUAUUUAUUUUAUUCUAUCAUCAUGCAGUCUGAGAAGAUGAUUGCCCUGAAUAAAAUGUGCUAGUUGUGUUUACAAAUUUCGGCUUGAGAAUUUGUUUUUUGACCAUAUUUUUCAGCAAGUAGCAUGGCUGAAAAUUAUGUUUUGAAAAGACUGAAAUAGUUUUCAAGUAUUUAGCAAUGCUGUUGGGCUUUGGCUUUUGGUAGAGCAAAAAGCAUUAUGAAUAUGUAGCUUUAAGAACACAGACAGAAAUGACUUCUUGCUCUUGUCACUAUUUCUCAUUGAAAUAAUACUUAAGCUACACCUGGGACUUUUUAUGCUUUACUUGUGAAUCCUCCUAGUUUCUUCCAGGGAUGAUCCUACCAUUAGACAGAGUGGAACAUUUACUUCAGGCAGGAGGUUUAGGCAGCCACAAAUAAAUUGUGAAUGGUUAGUUUAAUGAUGGUAACAACAACAACAACAACAACAACAACAACAACAACAAUUCUACUGUCAAGAAGUGGGUAAUAAACAUGAUAUUUUCUGCUUCAGCUGCCAAAAUAUCUGGAUAAAGUCUCUGUUACUUCUCUGGCUCAUACCUUGGGCCAAAUCUAACUUACAAUAGCAUGGAUACUAAUAUUUAUUAUUUAUUAAUCACCUAUGGUCAGUAGUUACUGGUCAAAUUUUUAAGAAUGCAGUCGGAAUGCUCUAAAUCAGUUUUGAGAUAAAAUCAGAUAGGGAACAGGCAGGGAACACUGUGCUUGUAUAAAUUAAUGGAAAAAGGAGAUUAUGUGACUUGAUUGCCAAAGUUUAGGAAGAGUUCAGAAACGUUACUUUUUGGUUUACAACUCCCAGAAUCUCCUCAUUAGCUUCUUACUUUUAGGGUUGAGAACUAUUCCAGGCCCUGAGAUUUCUCACAGGAACAGCAUCUGAUGAUGUUAUUGUGUGUGAUAACAUUAAAUAUUAACUACAGUUGUGCAAAUACGCAUUU
Molecule: long non-coding RNA, 6695 nt
Organism: Anolis carolinensis (green anole)
Lineage: Eukaryota; Metazoa; Chordata; Lepidosauria; Squamata; Anolidae
Exons: 5
Source: RefSeq, a predicted model, not a curated record